This 116-nucleotide ribosomal RNA is filed under the name Streptomyces sp. AmelKG-D3. Its description in RNAcentral is "23S rRNA. Bacterial LSU". It matches the Rfam family "Bacterial large subunit ribosomal RNA", at positions 2810 to 2925 of the family's 2925-position model. The record is from RNAcentral. Lineage: Bacteria; Bacillati; Actinomycetota; Actinomycetes; Kitasatosporales; Streptomycetaceae.
AUUCCCACCUCCUUGAGGGGUUAAGGCUCCCAGUAGACGACUGGGUUGAUAGGCCAGAUGUGGAAGCCCUGUGAGGGGUGGAGCUGACUGGUACUAAUAGGCCGAGGGCUUGUCCU